GGCAUCUGCAGCUAUACUGCASUCRGACRGGAUCWSAUCURWKCUUGCUUAAUUUAUGAGAGUGGCKCACGGGUGCRUAWCRCKUGASCRACCUACCCAUAUCWRGGGGAUARCCCGGARAAAUCCKGAUUAMCACCRCAUGACACMACSACUCKKCMUCAAKAUGUUGUUAAAUAUUUAUARGAUAUGGAUGGGCUCGCGUGACAUUASCUARUUGGUAAKGUAACGGCUUACCAWKGCUACGAUGUCWASGGGCUCUGARASGAKAAUCCCCCACACUGGUACUGAUACACGGACCAUACUCCUACKGGAGGCAKCARUAAKGAAUAUUGGUCAAUGGAKGGAACUCUGAACCAKCCAUGCCGCGUGCWSGAUGACUUCCCUAUGGGUUGUAAACUGCUUUUGUCCAGGAAUAACCACCACUACGUGUAGUGGCUUGAAUGUACUGGAAGAAUAAGGAUCGGCUAACUCCGUGCCAGCAGCCGCGGUAAUACGGAGGAUCCGAGCGUUAUCCGGAUUUAUUGGGUUUAAAGGGUGCGUAGGCGGCUCAUUAAGUCAGGGGUGAAAGACGGCAGCUCAACUGUCGCAGUGCCUUUGAUACUGAUGAGCUUGAAUGUGGUUGAAGAUGGCGGAAUGAGACAAGUAGCGGUGAAAUGCAUAGAUAUGUCUCAGAACUCCGAUUGCGAAGGCAGCUGUCUAAGUCAUUAUUGACGCUGAUGCACGAAAGCGUGGGGAUCGAACAGGAUUAGAUACCCUGGUAGUCCACGCCCUAAACGAUGAUAACUCGAUGUUGGCGAUACACAGUCAGCGUCUUAGCGAAAGCGUUAAGUUAUCCACCUGGGGAGUACGCCCGCAAGGGUGAAACUCAAAGGAAUUGACGGGGCCCGCACAAGCGGAGGAGCAUGUGGUUUAAUUCAUGAUACGCGAGGAACCUUACCGGCUUGAAGUUACUGAAUUAUCUAGAGAUAGAUAGUCCUUCGGACAGGAAACUAGUGCUGCA
This 1000-nucleotide ribosomal RNA is filed under the name Sphingobacterium alimentarium. RNAcentral's name for it is "partial 16S ribosomal RNA". It matches the Rfam family "Bacterial small subunit ribosomal RNA", at positions 68 to 1045 of the family's 1533-position model. Lineage: Bacteria; Pseudomonadati; Bacteroidota; Sphingobacteriia; Sphingobacteriales; Sphingobacteriaceae. The record is from RNAcentral.